GAUAAACUGUAUUGCUAAAAUUGGUUGACCUUUUUGUAUAAUGAAUCAGUACCCAUACCACUUGUCUGGAAAAAAAUUCUCUCUAUCAAAGUAUAUAUUUCUAACUAUAAAUAUAAGUUUAUCUAACUCAAAUGGUCUUGAAUGUUGGUCACUGCUUUCUUUACAUUAGUUCACUUGUGUUGUCUUAGUGUUGGCAAUUUGGCAUAGAUUACCAGACUCCAGAAAGAAUAAUAGGAGCAGGGUGAUCAUUCACAUUUUUUGAAAUGGUGUUUCUAAAUAUUGAUGUAUAUGAAUGAGCUUUACUUUUUCUUGAUUAGUCAGAUAUUGUUGUUGCCAAUUAUGCACUUCCACAGUUUUGUUGGUAGUAAUAGCAGAGACAUAAUUGACUCGCAAUAUUGACUUCUCAA
RNAcentral lists this long non-coding RNA (407 nucleotides) under Lupinus angustifolius (narrow-leaved blue lupine). RNAcentral's name for it is "long non-coding RNA (LANG_LNC003684)". The record is from RNAcentral. Lineage: Eukaryota; Viridiplantae; Streptophyta; Magnoliopsida; Fabales; Fabaceae.